CCUCCCCUCAGAGGCUGCUGCACAUCUAGGGUCUUCUGAUCCAACAUCGAGGUCGCAAGCUUUUCUGUCAAUAAGUACUCUCAAGAAAAAUUACGCUGUUAUCCCUAAGGUAACUUUUUCUUUCUAUUAAAAACUUUUAGGUCAUAUCCAAUUAGAUUUUUUUUAAUUAUCCCUUGUCUUAUAUUAAAGGAAGUUGCCCCAACUAAACUUUUAACAAUACAAACAUAAUUGUUUAAAAGUAAAGCUCUAUAGGGUCUUCUCGUCCCACUAAUUAAUUGUGGCCUCUUCACCACAUAGUUAACUUCGAAUUUAAUAAAGAGAGACAGUCCCUCUAUCGUCUAGCCGUUGAUACUAGCCUACAAUUAAUAGGCGAAUGAUUAUGCUACCUUUGCACAGUCAGUAAUACUGCAGCCGUUUAACCUAAGUCACUGGGCAGGCAGAACCUUUAAUCUUUUACUAAAGGCGAU
Molecule: ribosomal RNA, 467 nt
Filed under: Amphipholis squamata
Lineage: Eukaryota; Metazoa; Echinodermata; Ophiuroidea; Amphilepidida; Amphiuridae
Description: partial 16S ribosomal RNA
Source: RNAcentral